Molecule: long non-coding RNA, 4029 nt
Organism: Bactrocera dorsalis (oriental fruit fly)
Lineage: Eukaryota; Metazoa; Arthropoda; Insecta; Diptera; Tephritidae
Exons: 2
Source: RefSeq, a predicted model, not a curated record
GGUUUUCUUUUAUUUUUAAAACCGAAACCAUGUUUUUUUUUAGUUUUUUUUUUAAUUUAGAAUGUUAUUCUCGACUAAGUUAUUUAUUUCAAUUUAAGAACAGUGAAAUUCCUCCGGACAACUAAUAUCGAAGUGGUUUUAUUCGGCUAAGGAAGCUGUUCAUAUAUGGGGGCGUGGCAAAACGAAUGUUUAAAAUGUAUCCUUAUGAUCAGGAGCAGCAAUUUAAAACUAUAUUUAUACUGAACUAAUAAAUGUGAGCCAGAAGUGAAUGAAUGGCAAUUAUCGCAUUAGUUUCCGUUGAGCCACCGCUAUUCAGACGGCACCAACGCAAUACAAUUUGUUCGCUGUGAUCAUUUUACGUAUUGCUGAAACACUGAAAACAGCUAACGGAAAACACCAAAAAUUAUUGAGAAUUUAAAAAAUUAGGAAACUGUAAAUACACACACUACACAUUUUUUGAAAUCUCCUUUUAUCAGAGAUAAUUUAAACGAAAUAUUUCCUAAAUAGUAUCCGUGUCCGGUUAUAGGAACUGGUUUUGUAUGAAAAUAUUAAUGAAAACGUUGUGCUCAUGAAAUUUGUCCAGGUUAUGAGGACUCCGUAUUGGGGAAUUUCAUUCUACUAGAAAAAGAAAGUAUGACCACAAGUGUUCCAGGGUUGCGAAUUAUUUAAUUGUCCAAUGGGAUUAAAAAUUAUAUUUUAUAUUUCAAUUCAUGAUUCUGAAUAUUCAAUUUUUAGUUUUUAUUUUAAAAAAUAUUACAUUUUUAUUUAAAAAUUAACAUUUCAACUUCCAAUGAUUAAUCGGAUAGAACUUGCAUUAAAAAUGUAUAGUGAAAAUUAUCAAUUCAUCAGAAGAAUAAUGAAGGCGAUGUCUCUGCGUGAGCUUUAGUUCAAAAUGGUAGAACACGAAGUACCUAAACGCGAAAAAGUGUAAGUUAUAAUUUUAUUCUUUAAUUCUUAAUUAACGAGGUUAUCAAUAAGAGCGCUAAAAAAGUUUUGUUUUAAAUCAAACAAAAACAAAAUAAUGAAAUUUUUUGAUUCUUAUAAAGGACAUUCGAUGCCAUUAUGUGUGGAGAUCGAUUUUUUUUUACAUGGCUUGCUGAAGUCUAAACUCCGAACCCAAUUUUCGACGGUUUUCAAGCAUAAAUCGGUCGUUACUACUGCAUUUCACGUUCGAUAUUUGACGAAGUUAAUCGCCGUGGGCUUGUUGGCAUAGACCAAAGACUUGACAUAUCCCCUAAAUUAAAAUAGUAUAACGACAUCAAAUCGCACGACCGAGGCGCCAAUUGACUGGGCCAUUUCGUGAGAUAACACGUUCAUCAAACUUGAUUUUGAAUAAAACGAUUGACAUUCACCGUGUGGCUUGUGGCACCAUCGUGUUAGAACUACAUAUUGACCAAGUCCAUAUCAUCCGGUUCGGACUAAAAAUAUCCGGUUAUAAUUGGGCGGUAGCGAUUCCCAUUCACAAUAACGUGCCGGUCUUGAUCAUCAGGAGGACGGCCCAAUGACGCCGCCGGCCCAUAAGCCACACCGAACCGUAAUUUUUCUGGAUACAAUGGUGACACAGGUUUUGCUUAUUGACAAAGCUAUUCAGCCAGAAAUGAACGUCAUCGCUGCAGAUGAUUUUUCGAUGAAAAUUUGUAUCAUUUUCAAGUUGUUGCUCAGCCCAAUUCACGAACAUACGACGAUUCUGGUGGCCAAACGGCUUCAAUUCUUGCCUCAAUUUGAUCUUGUAAGCAUGUAGGCCUAGAUUUUUUCGCGAAAUUCACCACAACGACAUCACAGAGGUGAUUAACGCUUGAGAACGACGUCUGAGAAACUGAUUUAGGUCUUUUUCAAUUGAUGCGCUAGCGGCAGCAAUAUUCCGACACUACGGACACUUCUUUGUCUCACUGGCACGGGAACAUUUUUUAGUGUACCUGUGAAUUAAAAUUUUUCCACUAGACGCUCAUUUGUGGAUUUGCCAGGACGAUUAUGACGACCAUAAAUUGGACGUAGCGCUCUAAAAGUUGAAUUUCGGUAGUAAAUUUUAAUAAUUUCGACUUGUUGUUGGAUCGUAUAUCUUUCUAUGAUGAAAUGGCAAACCUUACUGAAGGGAAAUGUCAAAAGAGCGGGAAAAAUUUUACGUCGUUUGCUGUCCCUAUCAAAUCGUUGUUUUUCUGGAUCAGAUGGCAGCUCUUGAAUAUAUUCAGGUUGCUCUUCGUCCUAAAUGCGGCAAUUUUGCUUUUUUAUAUACACAGAUGGACAAAAGUAUUCGCCACUGAACAAGCUAUACAUGAAUUAGGUUCAAACUAUAAAAAAAAUAUUCGAAAUGUUAAUUUUACGUUAUAUUUCAAUAAAUUAUAUUCCAUACAUUCAUUCUUGACAAAAAAACUCCAAUUAAAAAUAAUAAAUUUUAAUAUUUAAGCUAAAAACUCCAGAAAGUUCAGAAAAUGGUUGGACAAAAGUAUUCGCCACUUACUGUAUACGAAGCUUAUGGUCGCCUUAAGGAAAGAAGUUUACAUAAAAAUUUGUAUCUGGCAAUAUCAUAGUUUGAUUGUAUGUGAGAAUGUGUCAAAAUAAUUUACCGUUAGUUUAUAUUUUGCGCGAUUAAGUAAAAAUGGGUCGUAAGGGUAAAGAAACCACAGAGGAGGAGAGAAAAAUAAUUGUGAAGUUUUUAACCAGUGGAAAAUCCAUAAAGGAAGUGUGCUCUAUUGUGUCGAGACCGCGAUCAACCGUGCGCAGCAUUUUAAAACGUUUCGAAGAAACUCGUACAAAAAUUGCCUUCGCACUGGCCGUCCGAGAAAGCUAAGUGAAACAGACAAGCGAAAAAUAACAAGAAUGGUGAAAAAAAAUCCCAAAACUGCAUCUUCCAAAAUUGCAGCAACAAUAAAUGAAGAUUUGGACAUAACCGUACACCCUCGCACAGUUCGACGUGUGCUGAAUGAAGCUGGGGUUAAGUAAGAUAAAUAAGAAAAAGCGCUUGGAUUUUGCAAAAGAACACAAAUCCAAAAAUAUUUCAUUUUGGGAAAAAGUGAUAUUCUCCGAUGAAAGCAAAUUUAAUAUCUACCGCUCAGAUGGUCGUAUUUUAACAUGGCGGAAAAAAAUACAGAACUGGAACUUCAGAACUUGCAAACCACAGUGAAGCACGGUGGUGGUGGGGUUAUGGUAUGGGGGUGUAUGGCAGCUGCAGGCGUGGGUAAUCUCAUGAGAAAAGAAGAUUACUUGGCCAUUUUAAAAACAAAUUUGAAAGCCAGCGCUGACAGUCUUUGCUUGGGAAAUGAUUUUUAUUUCCAACAUGAUAAUGAUCCCAAGCAUACGGCUGAGAUUGUACGGCUUUGGCUUAUUUAUAAUGUGCCCCAUUUACUGCGAACACCUCCCCAGUCACCUGACCUUAACCCCAUCAAGCAUCUGUGGGAUUUGCUAGAUAAAAAGGUUCGAAAUCACAAUAUAACAUCAAAAGAGCAGCUUAAAAGAGUCCUUUCCGAAGAAUGGCUGAAAAUCGGGACCGAUAUUACAGAAAAACUAGUGCAUUCAAUGUCCAAUCGUUGUCAGGAAGUUAUUAAACGAAAAGGGUUGCAAACAAAAUAUUAAAGUUUGUAUAAACGCUUAUUUAAAAUAGAAUUGUUGAAAUUGGCGAAUACUUUUGUCCAACAAUUUUCUGAACUUUCUGGAGUUUUUAGCUUAAAUAUUAAAAUUUAUUAUUUUUAAUUGGAGUUUUUUUUUGUCAAGAAUGAAUGUAUUGUAGUGUAUUGAAAAUCACUUUCAGCUACGAGUGCUAAAUUUUCUUCACUGCGAGCUGGACGUGGUCUAUUCAAUAUCAAUAUUAUUUAAUAAUGAACGCUGGGUUUCAAAAAGGGUAAUGGUGUUGCGAAUAGUACCCUAUUGUAUUGAUCAUAAAUUGAACGAAGCGCGCGAAACACAUUCUUUACAGCACGUAUAUUUUCGUAAUAAAGUUGAAUGAUUUGUAAACGUUGUUUAGGCGUAAGUCUUUCCAAAAUGAAAUGCCAAACAAUACUGAACAAAAAUAACAUGUCAGCUUGACACAACUCA